GACGAACGCUGGCGGCGUGCCUAAUACAUGCAAGUAGAACGCUGAAGCUUGGUGCUUGCACCGCGCGGCUGAGUUGCGAACGGGUGAGUAACGCGUAGGUAACCUGCCUGGUAGCGGGGGAUAACUAUUGGAAACGAUAGCUAAUACCGCAUAAGAGUAGAUGUUGCAUGACCUUUGCUUAAAAGGUGCAAUUGCAUCACUACCAGAUGGACCUGCGUUGUAUUAGCUAGUUGGUGAGGUGACGGCUCACCAAGGCAACGAUACAUAACCGACCAGAGAGGGUGAGCGGCAACACCGGGACGGGGACGCGGCCCAGAACCCUACGGGAGGCAGAAGUAGGGAAUCUUUGGGAAUGGAAGGAAGGCGGAACGAGGAACGACGCGUGAGUGAAGGAGGUUUUCGGGUCGUAAAAGUCAGUUGUAAGAGAAGAACGAGAGUGAGAGUGGAAAGUUCACACUGUGACGGUAUCUUACCAGAAAGGGACGGCUAACUACGUG
This 497-nucleotide ribosomal RNA is filed under the name uncultured bacterium. Its description in RNAcentral is "partial 16S ribosomal RNA". It matches the Rfam family "Bacterial small subunit ribosomal RNA", at positions 28 to 507 of the family's 1533-position model. The record is from RNAcentral.